RNAcentral lists this ribosomal RNA (422 nucleotides) under uncultured bacterium. Its description in RNAcentral is "bacterial SSU rRNA". It matches the Rfam family "Bacterial small subunit ribosomal RNA", at positions 358 to 772 of the family's 1533-position model. The record is from RNAcentral.
GGAAUAUUGGACAAUGGGCGAAAGCCUGAUCCAGCAACGCCGCGUGGAGGACGAAGGCCCUCGGGUUGUAAACUCCUGUCAGGUGGGACGAAAAGGCUGUGGUUAAUACCCAUAGCCUCUGACGGUACCACCAGAGGAAGCCCCGGCUAACUCCGUGCCAGCAGCCGCGGUAAUACGGAGGGGGCGAGCGUUAUUCGGAAUUAGUGGGCGUAAAGGGCGCGUAGGCGGCCUGAUAAGUCAGGGGUGAAAUCCCUCGGCUCAACCGAGGAAUUGCCUUUGAAACUGUCAAGCUCGAGGCCGGGAGAGGGUAGUGGAAUUCCGAGUGUAGCGGUGAAAUGCGUAGAUAUUCGGAGGAACACCAGUGGCGAAGGCGGCUACCUGGACCGGUUCUGACGCUGAGGCGCGAAAGCGUGGGGAGCAAA